This 840-nucleotide ribosomal RNA is filed under the name Triticum aestivum (bread wheat). Its description in RNAcentral is "partial small subunit ribosomal RNA". Lineage: Eukaryota; Viridiplantae; Streptophyta; Magnoliopsida; Poales; Poaceae. The record is from RNAcentral.
AUGGCCAAAUAUUGAUGGCGGAGUUCCAUAGACAAACGUACACUACACUGGCUCUCUUGGGAUAAACUUGCGACACCCAAAGUGAAGGGCGGCAUGGGAUUCCGCGACAUGCAGGUGUUCAAUCUCGCAAUGCUCGAGAAACAUGGCUGGCAUCUUCUCACCAAACCGGAGUCGUUGUGCUCGCGGGUGCUUAAGGGCAAAUAUUAUCCACAAACUGACUUCCUCAAUGCGAGUGUUCCUGCUCGAGCCUCGGCUACGUGGAAAGCAAUUAUUGCAGGGAGAAAGGCCCUUGAAGUCGGGUUCAUCAAAAGAGUUGGAGAUGUCUCCACUAUCUCCACUUGGACAGACCCCUGGAUCCCUGGCAACUUAUUUCUGAAACCGAUGGGGCGCCUUGGCUCUUCCACACUCGCCACGGUCUCAGAACUGAUAGAUGAUUACACAGGCAAUUGGAAUGUGGAAAUCAUUCAAGAAAAUUUCUUGCAACCGGAUGUUGAAGCUAUCCUCAAUAUACCUCUUAACAGCAACGGUGGUCAAGAUUCUUUGGCAUGGGCCUUAGAGAAAUCUGGCAACUACUCUGUAAAAUCCGCGUAUCGCUCUCUUGUGACUCGGAACGAGCACCACGCUCUAGAAGAAGGGACGAUUACAGAAACUUCAUCAGCUAAUAAACAGAUGUGGGCGCCCUUUGGAAAUUACAUGUGGUUCCAAAAGUCCGUGUAUUCUGGUGGAGAGUUCUCCGGGGAAUACUACCAGAUUCAGUCACUUUGCAAUACCGACACAUCAAGCCAUUACGCCGGUGUGACAUUUGCAAAGCAAUGGAUGAAAACUUGCUUCAUGCACUAG